This 433-nucleotide ribosomal RNA is filed under the name uncultured bacterium. RNAcentral describes it as "partial 16S ribosomal RNA". It matches the Rfam family "Bacterial small subunit ribosomal RNA", at positions 29 to 507 of the family's 1533-position model. The record is from RNAcentral.
AACGAACGCUGGCGGCAUGCCUAACACAUGCAAGUCGAACGAGACCUUCGGGUCUGGUGGCGCACGGGUGCGUAACGCGUGGGAACCUGCCCUUAGGUUCGGAAUAACUCCCCGGAAGGGGUGCUAAUACCGGAUAAUGUCUUCGGACCAAAGAUUUAUCGCCUUUGGGUGGGCCCGCGUUGGAUUAGCUAGUUGGUAGGGUAAAAGCCUACCAAGGCGACGAUCCAUAGCUGGUCUGAGAGGAUGAUCAGCCACACUGGGACUGAGACACGGCCCAGACUCCUACGGGAGGCAGCAGUGGGGAAUAUUGGACAAUGGGCGAAAGCAUGAUCCAGCAAUGCCGCGUGAGUGAUGAAGGCCUUAGGGUUGUAAAGCUCUUUUACCCGGGAUGAUAAUGACAGUACCGGGAGAAUAAGCUCCGGCUAACUCCGUG